Molecule: ribosomal RNA, 543 nt
Filed under: Cladosporium sphaerospermum
Lineage: Eukaryota; Fungi; Ascomycota; Dothideomycetes; Cladosporiales; Cladosporiaceae
Description: eukaryotic LSU rRNA
Rfam family: Eukaryotic large subunit ribosomal RNA
Source: RNAcentral
AAACCAACAGGGAUUGCUCUAGUAACGGCGAGUGAAGCAGCAAUAGCUCAAAUUUGAAAUCUGGCGCCUUCGGCGUCCGAGUUGUAAUUUGUAGAGGAUGCUUCUGGGCAGCCACCGACCUAAGUUCCUUGGAACAGGACGUCAUAGAGGGUGAGAAUCCCGUAUGCGGUCGGAAAGGCACCCUACACGUAGCUCCUUCGACGAGUCGAGUUGUUUGGGAAUGCAGCUCUAAAUGGGAGGUAAAUUUCUUCUAAAGCUAAAUAUUGGCCAGAGACCGAUAGCGCACAAGUAGAGUGAUCGAAAGAUGAAAAGCACUUUGGAAAGAGAGUUAAAAAGCACGUGAAAUUGUUGAAAGGGAAGGGAUUGCAACCAGACUUGCUCGCGGUGUUCCGCCGGUCUUCUGACCGGUCUACUCGCCGCGUUGCAGGCCAGCAUCGUCUGGUGCCGCUGGAUAAGACUUGAGGAAUGUAGCUCCCUCGGGAGUGUUAUAGCCUCUUGUGAUGCAGCGAGCGCCGGGCGAGGUCCGCGCUCGGCUAGGAUGCU